GAUCGGCCACAUUGGAACUGAGACACGGUCCAAACUCCUACGGGAGGCAGCAGUGGGGAAUAUUGCACAAUGGGCGAAAGCCUGAUGCAGCAACGCCGCGUGAGUGAUGAAGGCCUUCGGGUCGUAAAACUCUGUCCUCAAGGAAGAUAAUGACGGUACUUGAGGAGGAAGCCCCGGCUAACUACGUGCCAGCAGCCGCGGUAAUACGUAGGGGGCUAGCGUUAUCCGGAUUUACUGGGCGUAAAGGGUGCGUAGGCGGUCUUUCAAGUCAGGAGUGAAAGGCUACGGCUCAACCGUAGUAAGCUCUUGAAACUGGGAGACUUGAGUGCAGGAGAGGAGAGUGGAAUUCCUAGUGUAGCGGUGAAAUGCGUAGAUAUUAGGAGGAACACCAGUUGCGAAGGCGGCUCUCUGGACUGUAACUGACGCUGAGGCACGAAAGCGUGGGGAGCAAACAGGAUUAGAUACCCUGGUAGUCCACGCUGUAAACGAUGAGUACUAGGUGUCGGGGGUUACCCCC
RNAcentral lists this ribosomal RNA (517 nucleotides) under Clostridioides difficile. RNAcentral's name for it is "bacterial SSU rRNA". It matches the Rfam family "Bacterial small subunit ribosomal RNA", at positions 302 to 841 of the family's 1533-position model. The record is from RNAcentral. Lineage: Bacteria; Bacillati; Bacillota; Clostridia; Peptostreptococcales; Peptostreptococcaceae.